This 254-nucleotide ribosomal RNA is filed under the name uncultured bacterium. RNAcentral describes it as "partial 16S ribosomal RNA". It matches the Rfam family "Bacterial small subunit ribosomal RNA", at positions 524 to 776 of the family's 1533-position model. The record is from RNAcentral.
CACGUAGGGGGCGAGCGUUGUCCGGAUUUAUUGGGCGUAAAGAGCUCGUAGGCGGCUCAGUAAGUCGGGUGUGAAAACUCCAGGCUCAACCUGGAGACGCCACCUGAUACUGCUGUGGCUAGAGUCCGGUAGGGGAGCAUGGAAUUCCUGGUGUAGCGGUGAAAUGCGCAGAUAUCGGGAGGAACACCCGUAGCGAAGGCGGCACUCUGGGCCGUGACUGACGCUGAGGAGCGAAAGCGUGGGGAGCAAACAGG